RNAcentral lists this ribosomal RNA (550 nucleotides) under uncultured bacterium. RNAcentral describes it as "bacterial SSU rRNA". It matches the Rfam family "Bacterial small subunit ribosomal RNA", at positions 355 to 896 of the family's 1533-position model. The record is from RNAcentral.
UAGGGAAUCUUCCGCAAUGGACGAAAGUCUGACGGAGCAACGCCGCGUGAGUGAUGAAGGUUUUCGGAUCGUAAAACUCUGUUGUUAGGGAAGAACAAGUACAAGAGUAACUGCUUGUACCUUGACGGUACCUAACCAGAAAGCCACGGCUAACUACGUGCCAGCAGCCGCGGCAAUACGUAGGUGGCAAGCGUUGUCCGGAAUUAUUGGACGUAAAGCGCGCGCAGGCGGUCCUUUAAGUCUGAUGUGAAAGCCCACGGCUCAACCGUGGAGGGUCAUUGGAAACUGGGGGACUUGAGUGCAGAAGAGAAGAGUGGAAUUCCACGUGUAGCGGUGAAAUGCGUAGAGAUGUGGAGGAACACCAGUGGCGAAGGCGACUCUUUGGUCUGUAACUGACGCUGAGGCGCGAAAGCGUGGGGAGCAAACAGGAUUAGAUACCCUGGUAGUCCACGCCGUAAACGAUGAGUGCUAAGUGUUAGAGGGUUUCCGCCCUUUAGUGCUGCAGCAAACGCAUUAAGCACUCCACCUGGGGAGUACGGCCGCAAGGCUG